UAUCUGCUAUCAUGUCACAGGAUUUCAGGUAAUUAACUAUAUCAAGCUGCUUCAUUUAUUAAGUCUAACCGAUCCAAUGUACUUCGCUGUAGCUGAGUUAUUGCAUUUAAUUUAUGGUAAUUUAGCCCAGCAAGC
Long non-coding RNA from Oxyura jamaicensis (ruddy duck), 135 nucleotides. RefSeq lists it as uncharacterized. The transcript is spliced from 4 exons. Lineage: Eukaryota; Metazoa; Chordata; Aves; Anseriformes; Anatidae. The record is from RefSeq and is a predicted model, not a curated record.